RNAcentral lists this transfer RNA (76 nucleotides) under Candidatus Zambryskiibacteriota bacterium. Its description in RNAcentral is "Candidatus Zambryskibacteria bacterium tRNA-Thr". It matches the Rfam family "tRNA". From Rfam's summary of the family: Transfer RNA (tRNA) molecules are approximately 80 nucleotides in length. Lineage: Bacteria; Candidatus Zambryskiibacteriota. The record is from RNAcentral.
GCCAAGAUAGCUCAGUUGGCAGAGCACAUCCAUGGUAAGGAUGAGGUCCGGAGUUCGAUCCUCCGUCUUGGCUCCA